GAUGAACGCUGGCGGCGUGCCUAAUACAUGCAAGUCGAGCGAACGGGCGAGAAGCUUGCGUCUCUGUUGAUAGCGGCGGGGGGGUGAGUAACACGUGGAAAAUCUACCUGUAAGACGGGGAAAACUUCGGAAAACCGGCGCUAAUCCCGGAUAAUCUCUUGAACCAUAGUGUUGGAAGGUGAAAGACGGCGUUGCUGGCAGUACUAGAUGGAUGCGAGGUUAAUUAGCUGGUUGGUGAGGUAAAGGCUUACCACGGCAACGAGGGGUAGCCGACCUGAGAGGGUGAACGGCGACAAUAGGACUAAGGGACGGACCAGAAGGCUAUGGGAGGCAGCAGGCGAGAAUAUUACGGAAUAAGGGGGAGCGUGAUACAACAACGCCGCGUGCGUAAUAACGGCUUACGGGUUAUAAACCGCUGUGGACUGUAAUGAGGAGAGAGUGACGGUAACUAGUCAGAAAGCCCCGGCUAACUACGUG
Molecule: ribosomal RNA, 477 nt
Filed under: uncultured bacterium
Lineage: Bacteria
Description: partial 16S ribosomal RNA
Rfam family: Bacterial small subunit ribosomal RNA
Source: RNAcentral